AAAAACAAGAAACAGAAGAGAAAAACAAACUAAAGAAAAAAAAAGCAAAGAUGAAGGCAAAAACAAAAGAAAGCCAAAACCAGAAAAAACAUGGAAGAGAAAAAGAGUUUGGGUUUAGAGUUUGGAGUGCCGUUUGAGUUUUUGGUAACGUCGUUUAUGCAUCUUUUUAGUUAGUUCAAUCUUACAGGUUCUUAUCCAAUUCCAUACUCUUUAUUUUAUAAGUUUCAUUGUGAAUCACAACAUAAUGAAUAAAGAUAUUUAA
Molecule: long non-coding RNA, 262 nt
Filed under: Capsicum annuum
Lineage: Eukaryota; Viridiplantae; Streptophyta; Magnoliopsida; Solanales; Solanaceae
Description: long non-coding RNA (CANN_LNC022092)
Source: RNAcentral